RNAcentral lists this ribosomal RNA (630 nucleotides) under uncultured Acinetobacter sp. RNAcentral's name for it is "bacterial SSU rRNA". It matches the Rfam family "Bacterial small subunit ribosomal RNA", at positions 53 to 676 of the family's 1533-position model. The record is from RNAcentral. Lineage: Bacteria; Pseudomonadati; Pseudomonadota; Gammaproteobacteria; Moraxellales; Moraxellaceae.
ACAUGCAGUCGAGCGGGGGAGGUUGCUUCGGUAACUGACCUAGCGGCGGACGGGUGAGUAAUACUUAGGAAUCUGCCUAUUAAUGGGGGACAACAUCUCGAAAGGGAUGCUAAUACCGCAUACGCCCUACGGGGGAAAGCAGGGGAUCACUUGUGACCUUGCGUUAAUAGAUGAGCCUAAGUCGGAUUAGCUAGUUGGUGGGGUAAAGGCCUACCAAGGCGACGAUCUGUAGCGGGUCUGAGAGGAUGAUCCGCCACACUGGGACUGAGACACGGCCCAGACUCCUACGGGAGGCAGCAGUGGGGAAUAUUGGACAAUGGGGGGAACCCUGAUCCAGCCAUGCCGCGUGUGUGAAGAAGGCCUUAUGGUUGUAAAGCACUUUAAGCGAGGAGGAGGCUCUUUUGGUUAAUACCCAAGAUGAGUGGACGUUACUCGCAGAAUAAGCACCGGCUAACUCUGUGCCAGCAGCCGCGGUAAUACAGAGGGUGCGAGCGUUAAUCGGAUUUACUGGGCGUAAAGCGUGCGUAGGCGGCUUUUUAAGUCGGAUGUGAAAUCCCCGAGCUUAACUUGGGAAUUGCAUUCGAUACUGGGAAGCUAGAGUAUGGGAGAGGAUGGUAGAAUUCCAGGUGU